UGCUAGAAUUGUACCUGGCCGGGACGCC
RNAcentral lists this non-coding RNA (28 nucleotides) under Mus musculus (house mouse). Lineage: Eukaryota; Metazoa; Chordata; Mammalia; Rodentia; Muridae. The record is from RNAcentral.